Molecule: long non-coding RNA, 793 nt
Filed under: Homo sapiens (human)
Lineage: Eukaryota; Metazoa; Chordata; Mammalia; Primates; Hominidae
Description: novel transcript
Source: RNAcentral
GCUCGUCUCCGCCGGGGACGUGCUGCAGCAACGGCUGCAGGGCCGCUAGGCCGACUGGCGCCAGACGCGGCGCGUGGCCACGUUGGUGGUGACCUUCCACGCCAACUUCAACUACGUGUGGCUGGGCCUGCUGGAGCGCGCGCUCCCGGGCCGAGCGCCGCGCGCCAUGCUGGCCAAGUUGCUGUGCGACCAGGUGGUCGGUGCGCCCAUCGCGGUCUCGGCCUUCUACGCCGGUAUGAGCAUUCUCCAGGGAAAGGAUGACAUAUUUUUGGACCUGAAACAGAAAUUCUGGAACACCUAUAUGGUGGUCUAUGUUGCCCGCAACGCAAAGGAUGUGGCGGUUUCCUACUACCACUUCUACCACAUGGCCAAAGUGUACCCUCACCCUGGGACCUGGGAAAGCUUCCUGGAGAAGUUCAUGGCUGGAGAAGUGUCCUAUGGGUCCUGGUACCAGCACGUGCAAGAGUGGUGGGAGCUGAGCCGCACCCACCCUGUUCUCUACCUCUUCUAUGAAGACAUGAAGGAGAACCCCAAAAGGGAGAUUCAAAAGAUCCUGGAGUUUGUGGGGCGCUCCCUGCCAGAGGAGACUGUGGACCUCAUGGUUGAGCACACGUCGUUCAAGGAGAUGAAGAAGAACCCUAUGACCAACUACACCACCGUCCGCCGGGAGUUCAUGGACCACAGCAUCUCCCCCUUCAUGAGGAAAGGCAUGGCUGGGGACUGGAAGACCACCUUCACCGUGGCGCAGAAUGAGCGCUUCGAUGCGGACUAUGCGAAGAAGAUGGCAGGCUGC